RNAcentral lists this ribosomal RNA (406 nucleotides) under uncultured bacterium. RNAcentral describes it as "partial 16S ribosomal RNA". It matches the Rfam family "Bacterial small subunit ribosomal RNA", at positions 30 to 526 of the family's 1533-position model. The record is from RNAcentral.
AUUGAACGCUGGCGGCAGGCCUAACACAUGCAAGUCGAACGAGUGGCGGACGGGUGAGUAAUGUCUGGGAAAGUGCGUGGUGGAGGGGGAUAACUACUGGAAACGGUAGCUAAUACCGCAUACCAUCGGAUGUGCCCAGGUGGGAUUAGCUAGUAGGUGGGGUAACGGCUCACCUAGGCGACGAUCCGUAGCUGGUCUGAGAGGAUGACCAGCCACCCUGGAACUGAGACACGGUCCAGACUCCUACGGGAGGCAGCAGUGGGGAAUAUUGCACAAUGGGCGCAAGCCUGAUGCAGCCAUGCCGCGUGUAUGAAGAAGGCCUUCGGGUUGUAAAGUACUUUCAGCUGGGAGGCGUUACCAGCAGAAGAAGCACCGGCUAACUCCGUGCCAGCCGCCGCGGUAAUUC